ACCUUACCAGGGCUUGACAUGGGGAGGCUGUAUUCAGAGAUGGAUAUUUCCUGCAAGGGACCUCCUGCACAGGUGCUGCAUGGCUGUCGUCAGCUCGUGUCGUGAGAUGUUGGGUUAAGUCCCGCAACGAGCGCAACCCUCGCCUUUAGUUGCCAGCAUGAUUGGGUGGGCACUCUAAAGGAACUGCCGGUGACAAGCCGGAGGAAGGUGGGGAUGACGUCAAGUCCUCAUGGCCCUUAUGUCCUGGGCUACACACGUGCUACAAUGGCGGUGACAGUGGGGAGCCAGGCAGUGAUGCCGAGCUGAUCUCAAAAAGCCGUCUCAGUUCGGAUUGCACUCUGCAACUCGAGUGCAUGAAGGUGGAAUCGCUAGUAAUCGCGGAUCAGCAUGCC
This 392-nucleotide ribosomal RNA is filed under the name Gluconacetobacter sp. FER1. RNAcentral's name for it is "bacterial SSU rRNA". It matches the Rfam family "Bacterial small subunit ribosomal RNA", at positions 968 to 1358 of the family's 1533-position model. The record is from RNAcentral. Lineage: Bacteria; Pseudomonadati; Pseudomonadota; Alphaproteobacteria; Acetobacterales; Acetobacteraceae.